RNAcentral lists this unclassified non-coding RNA (269 nucleotides) under Hevea brasiliensis (rubber tree). Lineage: Eukaryota; Viridiplantae; Streptophyta; Magnoliopsida; Malpighiales; Euphorbiaceae. The record is from RNAcentral.
GUAGUCUCCUACAACUAUGGAGAGAAAUCUGCCCACGCCUUAAAUUCAGCUGGCUUUCGACAUCUCACAUUUAAACCAUAUGAUGGGCUUGGGCAUUACACAGUGCCUAAAGAAAUGGAUGAGGUUCGCAAUUGGCUUGCUGCAAAACUGGGCCUUGAGGGAUCACGCACAUAACUCCUAGUGAGAACUAGUGAUGAGGAACAACGGGGAACAAUAACAAGAUAAGGGAAAGAAAUGGAUUUGUAUAAGUAGGUAGUAAAUAGAAUGGG